CCUACGGGAGGCUGCAGUGGGGAAUAUUGCGCAAUGGGGGAAACCCUGAUGCAGCGACGCCGCGUGAGCGAUGAAGUCUUUCGGUUUGUAAAGCUCUAUCAGCAGGGAGGAAAAUGACGAUACCUGAAUACGAAACCCCUGCUAACUACGUGCCAGCAGCCACGGUAAUACGUCGGGGGCAAGCGUUCUCCGGAUUUACUGGUGGUAAAGGGAGCCUAAACGGUCCGUUAAGCAAGAUGUGAAAGCCCGGGGCUCAACCCCGGGAUUGCAUUUGGAACUGUAAGGCUAGAGUAGCGGAGAGGCAGGUGGAAUUCCUAGUGUAGCGGUGAAAUGCGUAGAGAUGAGGAGGAAAAC
Molecule: ribosomal RNA, 354 nt
Filed under: uncultured bacterium
Lineage: Bacteria
Description: partial 16S ribosomal RNA
Rfam family: Bacterial small subunit ribosomal RNA
Source: RNAcentral